CUCCCCACUAGAUUAUUAGCUCCAUAUGGGUAGGGGUUCCUGUGAUUGACACUGUGCUACAGUCCUUGGCACAUGUGAGGUGCUCUACCUGACAAACAUGGACUGCCAGCCUGCCGACAGCCUCUGCAGAAACUCCGCACACCCUUCCGUUGAGUGUUCUGAGGAAGUAACCAUCUUCAGACAGGGAAAUUUUUGCUGAACUGGAAAAACAGUAGGAGUGUUUUGCCUUCACUCCAUCACCGAAUAGCAGGUGUCCAGGUUCUGGUUGCCUGUUACACGUAAGUGCCCCCAAUCCUGUUUUUCCUACGUGUGGUUGGUGUUUUGAACAUAUUCAAUGCUUGUGUUUGUUAUCUUUACUCGAGACUCCUACCCUCCCCCAGUCACUAUAUUCAUUACCCUGAGCCUUUCAACCUGGGGCUGUAGACCAGGGUGAAAAAAAAAAACCAACACACAAUUGCUCUUAAGCUCAGAAAAUUGAUUUUCCCGAGUUUAAGUGGGCAUCAUGAGUUGUUAACCCUGUUAGAAAAAUACAAGUUGGAUUUAUGAUUCCCU
Molecule: long non-coding RNA, 552 nt
Filed under: Cervus hanglu yarkandensis (Yarkand deer)
Lineage: Eukaryota; Metazoa; Chordata; Mammalia; Artiodactyla; Cervidae
Description: lncRNA (ENSCHYG00000013811.1)
Source: RNAcentral